RNAcentral lists this non-coding RNA (26 nucleotides) under Mus musculus (house mouse). Lineage: Eukaryota; Metazoa; Chordata; Mammalia; Rodentia; Muridae. The record is from RNAcentral.
UACCCAUGGACAAGAUCCAGUUUAGC